AUUGAGGAAGAUUUUCUGGGAAAUUUGUGGGAGAUUUUCUUUAUGAAAAUAGGGGAAAUCUUGAGAGUUUUUGCCAGUGUUAAUGAGAAGAAUAUAGUUGACUCCAAAAUUUAUCGAUUAUAUUUUAGUCUGGACUUUUGCUCACUCGAAUUCGUCUAGUUGAUGUCUUCUUGAAGUGGUUCACUUGCGUGGAAAUCCUUUCCUCUUUGAAGAUCGUUGCUGCCUUCAUUUCGUUGCAUCCUAAAAGAACAAGCCCGUUUCAGAGUCGUCGUAUAGGCCCCGAGUUAAAAGAAUUUGGAGCAAAUCAA
This 308-nucleotide unclassified non-coding RNA is filed under the name Hevea brasiliensis (rubber tree). Lineage: Eukaryota; Viridiplantae; Streptophyta; Magnoliopsida; Malpighiales; Euphorbiaceae. The record is from RNAcentral.